UGAGGAACAGGUGUGUGUAAUGAUAGGAAGUAUGGGGUGAUGUGAUGAGGAACAGGUGUGUGUAAUGAUGGGAAGUAUGGGGUGAUGAACAGGUGUGUGUAAUAGUGGAAAGCUCCUUGAAAGUGUAUAUCCUUUGAUCGUUGCAAACUGGUCGAUAAUGUCUCUUAUUUUACCUUGUACAUCAUCAAAAUGAAAGCAAAGUUCUAAUGGAUUUAUUUUUGAAUAAUUUAAGUUUUGUGUAAUUUUCAUUUUGUACAUUUGUAGGGCCUAAUAAAUGAAUGAAAAUACUAUAGCCUGUGUUCUUAGAAAUAAUCGUUCUAUUUAUUAUAAUUUUUUGAACUAUUCUAUGUAGUUUGAGGACGAUCCGGUAGAUGAACUGAUGCCCUGGCUGGAUGGGGAUGCUGUGGAGAAUGUCCAUGUUAAUAGGGACGAUUCAUAUGCUAUUGACGGCAAACGGUGUUCAGCUGUGGCUGAUACUGUUGGUCUCAAAGGCCGGGCGGUUCUAGUGUUAAACGAGCUAAUGUUGUAGUUUUUGACAGGAAAUGUCUCCCAUUGACCGUUUGAUUAGAUUUAUUUUAGUGUUAAUACUUUAUUAAUAUAACUCCUUCUGAAUUCUUUCCAUCUUUAGGCCUGGUAGGAGACCCAGAGGAUUCCUGUCGUUCAUGUCCAAUAAGCCCCUCACACCUGCCUCCUCUGCCCCUGCUCGAGGUCCCAGAGCAGCCGCUCAGAGGCCCCAGGUCAACACCAACCGCACUGGGGGGAAACGGGCUGACUCCGCUCCCUCCUCCGUCAGAGCCAUGCCUGCACGUUUCACCAGCCCCACUAGAACCACCAUUAAGCCUGACGGUUCCCCGACGGUGACCUGGGGAAAACCCUCUGAUGUUCAAACCACCAAAUCAGACCCAGAGCCCAGUACCUCCCAGGGUACAGCUUCCCAGCCUUCUCAGGGGCCAGAUGGCCAGCCCAGUGCCUCUCCCUGUGUGGACAGCUACUCAACAGACGAGGAACCCAUCAACGUGUCCCAGUACUUUUUCAGUGACAUCUUCACUGAGGUUGAGGAGAAUGAGGGGUGACCGGAAAGAUAACAAGGCAUCUUUUAAUUCAUUGAACCGAGCUGAAGAACAAACUGCUAAAAAGUACUUGAAGAUUUUUGGAUGUAGCACUAAAAUCACAUCGCUUUGUGGUUAUGCUAACAAGGUUUCUGGUUUGCGGUGAAUAUAUUUGGCCACUAGAUGGCCACAAAACAGAACUUAAGACGAUUAUUUCAGAAGAAAACACUUUUUUUGUCCUGCUUAGGAACUUUGCUCUAAUUUGUGCACCUUUGCUAUAAUAAUAUCUUGAAUCAUAUUCAGACAACUUUGUAUCCUAAUAACAUAUUUAUAUUUAUUUGGUUUUAUUUCUUUUAAACCACUUAGGUAGACAUUAACAAUUCAAACUCACUUCUAUAGCACUCGCCAGUUUUGCAGUUUGCUCAGGGACUUUCAAAUUCAUAUUUGAGUUCUUUUUUUAUAGGUUUGCUGUUAGUCACAUGAUCACGCCAUUGAAUUUGCCAAGUUUCUCCAAAAACAAACAGGCUUUAAGUUAUCUCACUGGUUCUAAAAUUGAUCUCAACCUUUCUCAGACAAACUGCAUCACCGCCAAUCACAAUCCAAAUCAAAAUAAUUCAUCACUGAUCGCAAUCUCAGUUUUAAUAGGCUAGAAUAGGUUGUCACUCUUAGUGUCUGCUAAACCAAUAAUUUGUAAGGAGGGACUUUCCAGGUGGAAAGAGAUUACAGAUGAUCAUGUGACUGGAGUGCUCUGUUAAAGCAUGUUUACAUUUACAUACGAAGCCCUUGUCUUACAGUGAACAUUGUGUAAAUAUGUUAAUUAUAAUUUAGAUCAGAUAUAUUGCAGGGGGGAUUUUGGUGCAUGAAAAAGACUUGUUGUGCAGCUUCACAAUGUUUAUUAAAUGCUGCCUGAUGACACUGUUUACAGAGUCCUCAUUUAAUCAAUGUACCGCUACAACAAAUGCACUAGUCCAUUUUCAGUUCUCAAAUUUUUUGUUUUCAAAUUAGCAUAGCUGUUAUGUUGCUAAUGUAAAAUAUGUGAAUAAAGUUGUGUAUGUGAAUGUCUGCUUUAUGUUGAAUGCCUUCCUUAAACAGUUGUUAAAG
Esox lucius (northern pike) is the source of this 2150-nucleotide long non-coding RNA. The record is from Ensembl. NCBI's taxonomy places the organism in Eukaryota, Metazoa, Chordata, Actinopteri, Esociformes, Esocidae.